UACGGAGGGGGCAAGCGUUAUUCGGAAUUACUGGGCGUAAAGCGCACGUAGGCGGCAAUCCAAGUCAAAGGUGAAAGCCCUCGGCUCAACCGAGGAACUGCCUUUGAAACUGCAUUGCUUGAGUCCGGGAGGGGGGAGCGGAAUUCCCAGUGUAGCGGUGAAAUGCGUAGAUACUGGGAGGAACACCGGUGGCGAAGGCGGCUCCCUGGACCGGUACUGACGCUGAGGUGCGAAAGCGUGGGUAGCAAACAGG
This 253-nucleotide ribosomal RNA is filed under the name uncultured bacterium. RNAcentral describes it as "partial 16S ribosomal RNA". It matches the Rfam family "Bacterial small subunit ribosomal RNA", at positions 524 to 776 of the family's 1533-position model. The record is from RNAcentral.